Transfer RNA from Puccinia graminis f. sp. tritici, 73 nucleotides. It matches the Rfam family "tRNA". From Rfam's summary of the family: Transfer RNA (tRNA) molecules are approximately 80 nucleotides in length. Their secondary structure includes four short double-helical elements and three loops (D, anti-codon, and T loops). Further hydrogen bonds mediate the characteristic L-shaped molecular structure. tRNAs have two regions of fundamental functional importance: the anti-codon, which is responsible for specific mRNA codon recognition, and the 3' end, to which the tRNAs corresponding amino acid is attached (by aminoacyl-tRNA synthetases). tRNAs cope with the degeneracy of the genetic code in two manners: having more than one tRNA (with a specific anti-codon) for a particular amino acid; and 'wobble' base-pairing, i.e. permitting non-standard base-pairing at the 3rd anti-codon position. NCBI's taxonomy places the organism in Eukaryota, Fungi, Basidiomycota, Pucciniomycetes, Pucciniales, Pucciniaceae. The record is from Rfam.
GUACAUUUAGCUCAACGGUCAGAGCGUCUGCGUCUAUGCGGGAAGGAUGUUGGUUCGAUUCCUACAGUGUACG